AAAGCAUUAAUUUACAGAUGGCACUUCAUUCCUUGCGGUACACCUUUCAAAAGACCUAACAUAAGAA
RNAcentral lists this small RNA (67 nucleotides) under Canis lupus dingo (dingo). RNAcentral describes it as "Deleted in lymphocytic leukemia 2 conserved region 3 (ENSCAFG00020003759.1)". The record is from RNAcentral. Lineage: Eukaryota; Metazoa; Chordata; Mammalia; Carnivora; Canidae.